GAUCUUUUACCUGACAAGGGUGCAGGCUGGCUCCUCUUCUCUCUCCUGUCUUUCUGCUCUUAAGGAGCUUCAUUUGUAAACUCUCCUUCAAAUCAGGUCACUGGCAAACUCAAAACCUUCCCAUCCUCCCAUAACUCUUGAAGUUAUAUUUAUCUAUCCAUUUUCAAUUGGUUCUUGUUCCCUUCCAACCUACCAUGCCUC
Molecule: unclassified non-coding RNA, 201 nt
Filed under: Hevea brasiliensis (rubber tree)
Lineage: Eukaryota; Viridiplantae; Streptophyta; Magnoliopsida; Malpighiales; Euphorbiaceae
Source: RNAcentral